This 397-nucleotide ribosomal RNA is filed under the name uncultured bacterium. Its description in RNAcentral is "bacterial SSU rRNA". It matches the Rfam family "Bacterial small subunit ribosomal RNA", at positions 64 to 507 of the family's 1533-position model. The record is from RNAcentral.
GAACGAGACCUUCGGGUUUAGUGGCGCACGGGUGAGUAACGCGUGGGAAUCUGCCCUGUGGUACGGAAUAACAUCGGGAAACUGGUGCUAAUACCGUAUAUCCCCUGAGGGGGAAAGAUUUAUCGCCAUAGGAGGAGCCCGCGUAGGAUUAGCUAGUUGGUGGGGUAACGGCUCACCAAGGCGACGAUCAGUAGCUGGUCUGAGAGGAUGAUCAGCCUCACUGGGACUGAGACACGGCCCAGACUCCUACGGGAGGCAGCAGUGGGGAAUAUUGGACAAUGGGCGCAAGCCUGAUCCAGCCAUGCCGCGUGGGUGAUGAAGGCCUUAGGGUUGUAAAGCCCUUUCGGCGGGGAAGAUAAUGACGGUACCCGCAGAAGAAGCCCCGGCUAACUUCGUG